Long non-coding RNA from Engraulis encrasicolus (European anchovy), 1455 nucleotides. RefSeq lists it as uncharacterized. Lineage: Eukaryota; Metazoa; Chordata; Actinopteri; Clupeiformes; Engraulidae. The record is from RefSeq and is a predicted model, not a curated record. The transcript has 6 exons.
CCAGAGCAUCAACUCCACUCUCAGCCAGGGCUUAGAAGGGACUGUCUCGCAGGACGGAAACACGCCAAACACAGAGCCUGAGGUGACCCAGACCACAGACUGGCCAUUGGUGUUAGGAGCUGGGUCUGCCGCGGCACUGUUUCUCGUCAUCGUCAUUGGAUUGGCUAUCGUUAUACACAGGAGAAUGGCUGAGCUUGCAAAGGAGAAGAAGAAGAGGGAAGAGGAUAAGUUUUGGAGUCAAGUGCGUACAAGAGACCACGUCAUAGAUCUCCCUGUUCCACGUCUAAGCAGUUGUUUGAAGGAUAUUGGACCAGCUAAUGCCGAUUACGCAAACCCGAGGACUCUCUCUACAUUUACAAAUCAAUCCUUCUGCUGAGUUUCUUUCCUAAAAUGUUAUGUUUAUUGUGUAAAUAUGUUUCUAGUCUACCUAUGCCCUAAUUACUGUAUUUUCUAUGGAUGGUGUCAUGGCAAAAAUGUUUAUUUAACUCAUAACCUUUAUUGAACUAUUGCAUGUACAUCCUGCAUAAUUUCAGUUUUUUUUUUUUUUUACACUUUAUAGUGUUUGUCCAUUUCACAACAGCCAAAGUGCUUUUUUGUUGACAAAUGUAUGUUGUUUUAUCAGUAUUUAUUUACUCAUGCACAAAUUGAGGUGUGAGCCAAUCCACAUAUCUUUCCUACAGUACAUGUCCAGUGUGUUGAACACAAGCUCCUGAUAAUAAGACAUGAGCUUGAUUCGUCAGUAGGGGGCACUGUGCAACUGACGCUUUCUGUCAAUGAGACUGGAUGAGACUGGGUAGGCCUACACUUUAUGGGUAGGGUAGGGGAAAGAGUUGUUUGCUUUUUUCAAAAGAGUAGCUGUCACAGUUUGAUGGUACUAAUAAAAUGUUUUAUAUUAUAUGAUGUGGUUGGGGUGAAAGACAGCUUGAACUUGAGUUUGUACAAAGGUGUUAGAAUAAAGGCUUGAUCAAUAUUUCAGUUAUGAACUUUUGUCAUUAAAGUAUGUUGUACAGAAUCUUUGAAAAAUAUUUUCAAAAGUCACUCCAUGGUUGAUAAUUAUGUAAAUAAUCUUUGACUCUUUUAAGUGGUUACAUCAGGAAAUAUGACCUUACUUCAGUUUAUAGCACAAUCAACUUUAAAAGUCAUGUUUGUCAGUUUUACCACGCUCAGUUCCGUUAAGUUUCGGUUUCGUAUAAACUCAAGUGUUAUUUAAGAGUUUCAGGUCAAACAAACAGACCAUUGACCACCAUAUCCAAGUGUUGGUCUCGGGUGAUUUGAAAUUGGUAUUGUGUGCCUUCCCUCCGCCAGUAUUUGUUGAGUAUUUGUUUGAGACUGAAUGGCGAUCGAGUGACUCAGUGGACACAGCAGGGUUGGGUUGGGCUGAGCAGCUGAGGUGUGGAGAAUUGUGUGUGCUGUGCUGGACUGGCCAUUUGGCAUAGCGGACAUUUCCCGGUGGGU